UAGUCUGCAUAGAAACACAAAGAUAUGGAAUACUUCGGCACAAUAACUCAAGUUUUCAUUAUUAAGUUAAUUGUGCUGAAAACAUCACUGACAAGAAAAUGAAAAUAUUGUCAGUUCUUGAUUUCUAAGAAUAAUACCAAAGUCAACGUCCUUACAUUACUCAAAAUCACGAUGAAUCUAAGAACAUAAAAAACAUACGCAUUAAAAAAUGGGAGAACAAUGUUUUUUCCCGGUGUGCAUUUUAAGUAUUGGAUGUUUGGCAACACAUCAGAGAAGCACAUUUUGUAAACAAAUUGACAAAGUUUCGUUGUAUGAUGCCGACCGGCAUAAACUUAAUUUAUGUACAAACUUUUUAAAUAAAUUCUUUAUUUAUUGUGAAGAAACUGUAGCUGCUCUGAUUCCACUAAAACUGAAAUGGCUUCUGUUUCUGCGCGUCUUUCAAUUAUUGGAGAAACAUCAUCCUGUGAACCUGAUCAAGAUGCUAAUUCUGCUCUUACAGAACUUGACAAAGGUCUGAAAAAUGAGGUGCAUCUUAUACGUCUAUACUCAGUUUUUGAUUACAUUCAUUUAUGGAAAUUAGCUGUAUUCAGAGUUACGGAAUUUUUUUCAUUUCCUUGUGAGGGGGUGGGAAUAUUACAGUUACGUAGAUUUCAGUGAAUGCACAUGCACUGUUAUCGAUGAUCACACUGGGUUUGUUUAAACUUUCCAAUUUUUGUGAAUGGCUUUUAAAAGUGUAGAAUUUCUACUGUUCAAUUUUCUUAAAAAUGUUGGCAAGUUAUGGCUCAAAAACAAUGUAGGCAUUGUUAUAAAAUAACAUACAAGCUACGUGUGAUUGUGUAUGCAAAAGGACAUGGAAACAAGGCUGCAGAGCGGCAUUUCGGCGUACCCCCAACUUGGAAAAUGAUAAGAAUCAGGAAGAGGAUCUGAAAAACUCAUAGAUUUGCAGAAAGUGUUAAUUUAUAUUACUUUAUAUUUAAAAUAUUGUAAAUUUACUAUAAUAAUUAGCAAUAAGGUUUUAUUCUUCAAAAAUGUAUAUAAAAAUGGGAGUGCAUCUUAUACGUCGGCAGAUAUGGUAUUUUGCAUAUUUUGAAGGAAUAUAAUAAUAUUUUUCCCGAAUCUGAAUUGACCAGUGAUUGCAAUUCAGAUAUUCAGGAAUGCUGUACAAAGUCCAAGAUUCAGAAUUGUCAGGAUUUCGACAAUUCGGAAUUUCAGAAAUUCCUAGAUUUUAGAUCUUCAUUUCAAAUUUAGUAGGAUGAUAUGGAGAGAUUAUAAUAUUAAAUGUAUAAAAUAGUUGUUUGUGAAAUAAUAAAAUAUUUUCAUAAUAUUGAGUGAAAUAAAAUUUACAAAUAAAAACA
Stegodyphus dumicola is the source of this 1355-nucleotide unclassified non-coding RNA. NCBI's taxonomy places the organism in Eukaryota, Metazoa, Arthropoda, Arachnida, Araneae, Eresidae. The record is from RefSeq and is a predicted model, not a curated record.